RNAcentral lists this ribosomal RNA (467 nucleotides) under uncultured soil bacterium. RNAcentral describes it as "bacterial SSU rRNA". It matches the Rfam family "Bacterial small subunit ribosomal RNA", at positions 26 to 486 of the family's 1533-position model. The record is from RNAcentral.
AGAUUGAACGCUGGCGGAAUGCUUUACACAUGCAAGUCGAGCGGCAGCGCGGGGGCAACCCUGGCGGCGAGCGGCGAACGGGUGAGUAAUACCAUCGGAACGUGUCCUUGAGUGGGGGAUAGCUCGGCGAAAGCCGGAUUAAUACCGCAUAAGCUCUGAGGAGGAAAGCGGGGGAUUCGCAAGGACCUCGCGCUGUUGGAGCGGCCGAUGUCGGAUUAGCUAGUUGGUGGGUAAAGGCCCACCAAGGCGACGAUCCGUAGCUGGUCUGAGAGGAUGAUCAGCCACACUGGAACUGAGACACGGUCCAGACUCCUACGGGAGGCAGCAGUGGGAAUUUGGACAAUGGGGCAACCGUGAUCCAGCCAUUCCGCGUGAGUGAAGUAAGGCCUUCGGUGUAAAGCUCUUUCGGACGAACGAAUGGUUAACGACUAACACCUAGUCGACUCGAGUCGACGGUACCGUAAGAA